Molecule: long non-coding RNA, 1722 nt
Organism: Jaculus jaculus (lesser Egyptian jerboa)
Lineage: Eukaryota; Metazoa; Chordata; Mammalia; Rodentia; Dipodidae
Exons: 4
Source: RefSeq, a predicted model, not a curated record
UUCGCGCCUCCUGCUGCCUGUGCCGCGUGGUGUGGAGGUUAGUGCGGCGUGAAGCUGGGCGACGCGAACUCGCGGGCUGAGGGCAGGUGCGAUUUUUAUGAUCUCCGGCUCGGGCGGUGGGCUUCUUCCUCUUGUAGCAGUUUCAGUUCCUUUUUUUAGAUUAUUAUCUGUGAAGCAGUACCGAUACCAGCAAUAACAACACCUAAAAGUUUUGAGUAAGUGCCAAGCAGUGUGAUAUUUUGGAUUGAAUUUCAGUUUUGUUAUCUGCGUACUGGCAACACGCAUGUUUGUGUAUAUGGCCUUAUGUGGGCACUGGAGAAUUGAACUUGGGUCCUUACGCUUUGCAGGUUAAAGAAUGGACCCUCAAUGGAAGACAAGCACCAAAAAGAAAAACAUGUUCUUCAGAAAUGUGAGGAGAGGAGCACAUUAGAAAAGUAUUUUUCCGGAAACAAACAUGACUUUCCAUUCAACGUGUAGAUCUUGUUGGAUGUGUACUUAUAAAUGCAGAUAAUGUUUCAAGGAGCACAACCAUUUAUAUAAUUCCUACAAUACAUAUAUUUUUUGGAAAAAUAACCUUGCUUUGAAAAUUUUAAAGACAAUGACUUUCUACCAACUGCUCAAAAAUACAGGCUAUAGAGAAUGCUCUCUUCUUUAUUGACUGGCAUUUUGGCCUGAUGAGAAAAAAAACCCAAUAAAAUGAAAGGCUUCUGGCAGUCCGUCUCCCAUCUUCCUGCACUCCACGAUUACAGCCAGAAGUAGAAGUCUUAUGAAGAGGUGUUGAAGGUGACACCGAGGUUUUCUCUGCUUUAAUGAAGGCUGAAUGCAUCCUUGAUUUGGGGACACAAGUGGCAUUCAUUUUGUUGUUUUGUCAGGCUGCUGGUCUCCUCACCACCCGACUCCUGACUGUGCCCUUCCUGCUUAAAUAUUGUAGAAGCGCCUGGUGUUCUCAUGCAAGUGGUCAGAAUGUGAGAAACAGGCUCAUCUUUGACUUUGGCAAAUUUGUUGACUGCAUGCAUGACCAUGCCUGGGUAAGCAUAUCCGCAAGAGGCUUUAGGAAUGCUCUGAGGGAGAGAGUAAAGAGCAUCACUUUCAACAAGAACUCUUUCCAGUGGGAUUCUUUUCAAAGCUUCUUGGAUCUUCAAGCGGCCUUAGGAAUGCUCCGAGAGAGAAAGUAAAGAGCAUCACUUUUAACAAGACUCUUUCCAGUGGGAUUCUUUUCAGAGCUUCUUGGAUCUUCCAAGAAGAGGUGUAAUUCAGGACUGCUAUGCUACAUACAUGUUAGUAAAGUACUCUAGCAUAGGUUCAGUGACUCAGUAAUCAUCAGUGAGACAGUGCUUGUGGAUCUUGUAGUCCCAAGGCACACACUUUUUGUGAUGGCUAGCAGAUCAUCAUCAUUUCGGCAGUGGAUCACCACUGGCUUCCCAAAAGGCACUGCCAGCACCUGUCUCAAAUACCCUAAACUGCUCUCAGAUUGGUGUGGUGUAUUUCAGAGAGAAAUCUAAUCCCAUUUCUCCAAAGGCUACAGCCUUGGGGUGCAUGCAAGAUGCUUCUUUCCUGAUAGCCUGUGUAGUAAUGGGCAAACUGGGGUGAUAGCCAAAUACCCUCCAAUCACCUUUCUUUUUUUAAAUUUAUUUAUUUAUUGACAACUUUCAUAAGUAUAGACAAUAACCCAUGGUAAUUCCCCCCCCCCCGCCCCCCGCCACUCUUACCUUUGCAACUGUA